Molecule: ribosomal RNA, 471 nt
Filed under: uncultured bacterium
Lineage: Bacteria
Description: bacterial SSU rRNA
Rfam family: Bacterial small subunit ribosomal RNA
Source: RNAcentral
CGCCAGACUCCUACGGGAGGCAGCAGUGGGGAAUAUUGCACAAUGGGCGCAAGCCUGAUGCAGCCAUGCCGCGUGUAUGAAGAAGGCCUUCGGGUUGUAAAGUACUUUCAGCGGGGAGGAAGGCGAUAAGGUUAAUAACCUUGUCGAUUGACGUUACCCGCAGAAGAAGCACCGGCUAACUCCGUGCCAGCAGCCGCGGUAAUACGGAGGGUGCAAGCGCUAAUCGGAAUUACUGGGCGUAAAGCGCACGCAGGCGGUCUGUCAAGUCGGAUGUGAAAUCGCCGGGCUCAACCUGGGAACUGCAUUCGAAGCUGGCAGGCUGGAGUCUUGUAGAGGGGGGUAGAAUUGCUGGUGUAGCGGUGAAAUGCGUAGAGAUCUGGAGGAAUACCGGUGACGACGGCAGCCCCCUGGACAAAGACUGACGCUCAGGUGCGAAAGCGUGGGGAGCAAACAGGAUUAGAUCCCCUUGUA